UCUGGUGAUGAUAGCGAAGAGGUCACACCCGUUCCCAUACCGAACACGGAAGUUAAGCUCUUCAGCGCCGAUGGUAGUCGGGGGUUUCCCCCUGUGAGAGUAGGACAUCGCCAGGC
RNAcentral lists this ribosomal RNA (116 nucleotides) under Bacillus sp. A053. Lineage: Bacteria; Bacillati; Bacillota; Bacilli; Caryophanales; Bacillaceae. The record is from RNAcentral.